AAAGAGGACAGGGAGAUCUCAUGGGUGUGUCCUGGAGGGAGGAGUAAGGAAUGAAUUCCUGAUUUAAGGAGCAGAGCAGAGGAGCAGCUGCCCAGGCACUCAAGGACCAGACUAAUCUUGAGAGCUGAUCUUAUCACUGAGAUUCCUUCUCAACAUCAUACAAGUGACUGGGGCCCUCCACCAAGAGGGCUUCCUCCCUGGACCAAGCUCACCAGAGGAAAGACAACAA
Molecule: long non-coding RNA, 229 nt
Filed under: Ictidomys tridecemlineatus (thirteen-lined ground squirrel)
Lineage: Eukaryota; Metazoa; Chordata; Mammalia; Rodentia; Sciuridae
Description: lncRNA (ENSSTOG00000033228.1)
Source: RNAcentral